Molecule: long non-coding RNA, 1648 nt
Organism: Equus caballus (horse)
Lineage: Eukaryota; Metazoa; Chordata; Mammalia; Perissodactyla; Equidae
Source: Ensembl
UAAUUGGAAGGGAAGCAUGGACAUCUGGCAAAUGAUCCGUGGGUCGUUGUCUCAGAGGGGAAGAAGGGAAGAAGAUACGGCUGAAGUCCUUUAUAGGGUCAUUCUCCUGCGCUGACAGUCCAGCCUACUCAGUCCGGCCUGGAGGAGGAAGCCCAGAUCUAGAGAAGAAAAAACAGUGGUUGGAGUUUAAGAGGGUUGCCUGGAGUCCCACAGCCACUGGUGGCUCAGAUGGACCUUAAACCCACAACAUCAGAGACAUCGAGCCAACACUCUCCUAUAAACAUUCUUAAUAAAUUAAACCCGUUCACGAGGAAUGAAGCACGAGACAGAAGAGUGAGUGUGCCGAUUAAAACUCAAGAAGGCACAUUUCUCCAAUCAUGACCUGGGUAAGAAAUACAGGGCUGCAAGGGGUCUGUUUUGCCUCAGCUGCCAUCCAGCCCAACCCCACACCAGCCAGGCGGCAGGGAGCUCUCUUUCUGCACCAAAGGCUUAGCUGCAAUGUGGUUUAAAUUAGACAUUUCUUGCCUGAGUAGAACAAAUCACUUAGGUUAUAUGCUGACAAAAAAGGAACAGUCUGCAUGCUUGGAAAGCUUAGGGGGAAUUAAAUUAUGUGCUGUCACUUCAGAGUUGUUCCUCUGUCCUCUCCACCACCACCUCUCAAUUGCCUGCAGGAGUCCUGGAGCCUUGCGUGCAAGCUGAGCCAUAACCCAAGGCUUAACAUAAACUUUGGACUCUCAGGUCAUUGGGAAAUAACAGGUAUAUCCGGUUGGGCCUUUUGUGCUUGUCUGCACGCAAAUUAAAAGCUCGUGCAAAGCUGAACUCCUUGGAGCCUCUGGUUAGGGAGAAGGGAGGGUGCCUUGGAAGAGAAUUCUCACACGAUCUCCCUGUUUAUUUUUUCAGGGAAUCAGGGGAUAGAGCUUGUUUAUGAGGAGUUUGCACCUCUGGGAGGCUGAGCUCAGAAGGGGCGGGAUGUGGUGGUGGCCUUGAGCCAGAUGGUCCGUGGGGGAGCAAUGCUCCAAAGGAUCCCAAGUCAGAGCUUUGAAAGGGCACAGUUCUUACAGACCUUCAGGGAGCGGGUGGAGGUGGGGGGCCAAUGCCCGUGCCUCCCUGCUGGUGGUAACAGUGGAAGAGAGCUUGCAGGGGCAGAGCUGAGUGGGGAGGGCCACAGGAGGGGGCCUGAAACCAAGGGGCCAUGCACCCAGGCACCAAGAGCUGUCACCUUGGCUCCCCCCUUCCCUUUGGAUGACCCCAAUAUGAUGAGGCUCUGAAGCCUCCAGGGGGCCGGUUGGAGUGGGAAAGGAGUGUCCACUCUGUGCCCAGGCUUCCUCCAAUGGGAAGCUGAAUGAUCACGUCUCCAGCCCUUGAACUGCGGGGAUUUUCUCCAUCCGGAGUUGGCCCACCUGGUGUGGCUGGGAGGCAGAAGAGAGUUUUUGGGGUCUGGAAGACCUGAAUUCAAGUUUCAGCUUGGGUGUCACAGGAGCUGUGUGACUUUGGUUGAUAACUCCACCUUCUCCCACCUUGCUGUAUUUGUUUGUAGAAAAGGGAUUAUGGUAAUAGUCACCUCCAAAGGUUGGUUGUGAGCGAUUAAUGAGAUGAUUUAUGUCAAGUGCUUGGCACACUGCCUGGCUCAAAGUGCUAAAUAAAUGGU